GGUUAAGCGACUAAGCGUACACGGUGGAUGCCCUGGCAGUCAGAGGCGAUGAAGGGCGUGCUAAUCUGCGAUAAGCGCCGGUAAGGUGAUAUGAACCGUUAUAACCGGCGAUACCCGAAUGGGGAAACCCAGUGUGACUCGUCACACUAUCAUUAACUGAAUCCAUAGGUUAAUGAGGCGAACCGGGGGAACUGAAACAUCUAAGUACCCCGAGGAAAAGAAAUCAACCGAGAUUCCCCCAGUAGCGGCGAGCGAACGGGGAGGAGCCCAGAGCCUGAAUCAGCAUGUGUGUUAGUGGAAGCGUCUGGAAAGGCGCGCGAUACAGGGUGACAGUCCCGUACACAAAAGCGCAUGUGCUGUGAGCUCGAUGAGUAGGGCGGGACACGUGGUAUCCUGUCUGAAUAUGGGGGGACCAUCCUCCAAGGCUAAAUACUCCUGACUGACCGAUAGUGAACCAGUACCGUGAGGGAAAGGCGAAAAGAACCCCGGCGAGGGGAGUGAAAAAGAACCUGAAACCGUGUACGUACAAGCAGUGGGAGCCCCACCACUAAGCCAGUGGUGAACUCCACAUACGCAUCCUUUGCUGAGGAUACGGUUAACGGAGCGAAAGCGACGUUCAACCGCAAAAGAAGCAGAGGGGGCUUAGUGGUGGGGUGACUGCGUACCUUUUGUAUAAUGGGUCAGCGACUUAUAUUCUGUAGCAAGGUUAACCG
RNAcentral lists this ribosomal RNA (713 nucleotides) under Salmonella enterica. RNAcentral's name for it is "partial 23S ribosomal RNA". It matches the Rfam family "Bacterial large subunit ribosomal RNA", at positions 1 to 652 of the family's 2925-position model. RNAcentral also lists the same sequence under 2 other names. Lineage: Bacteria; Pseudomonadati; Pseudomonadota; Gammaproteobacteria; Enterobacterales; Enterobacteriaceae. The record is from RNAcentral.